RNAcentral lists this ribosomal RNA (465 nucleotides) under uncultured bacterium. RNAcentral describes it as "partial 16S ribosomal RNA". It matches the Rfam family "Bacterial small subunit ribosomal RNA", at positions 339 to 795 of the family's 1533-position model. The record is from RNAcentral.
CUACGGGACGCUGCAGUGAGGAAUUUUGCGCAAUGGGCGAAAGCCUGACGCAGCAACGCCGCGUGAGUGAUGAAGGCCUUCGGGUCGUAAAGCUCUGUCAAGUGGGAAGAACCUAUGUAAUGUUAAUAUCAUUAUAUACUGACGGUACCACUGAAGGAAGCACCGGCUAACUCCGUGCCAGCAGCCGCGGUAAUACGGGGGGUGCAAGCGUUAUUCGGAAUCAUUGGGCGUAAAGGGCACGUAGGCGGCCUGGUAAGUCAGAUGUGAAAGCCCGGGGCUUAACCCCGGAAGUGCAUUUGAUACUGUCAGGCUUGAGUAUGGGAGAGGGAAGUGGAAUUCCUGGUGUAGAGGUGAAAUUCGUAGAUAUCAGGAGGAACACCGGUGGCGAAGGCGACUUCCUGGACCAAUACUGACGCUGAGGUGCGAAGGCGUGGGUAGCAAACAGGAUUAGAUACCCGGGUAGUC